CCUAGAAAAAAGAAAUGGCAAUGCCGUAAAAAUCGCUUGCUAGGUCCGUAAAUCUCAGUAAAAACCUACAAUAAAAUGUCCGCUCCGAGAUUGAAAUACUAAUCUGUGUUACAAACAGGUGCUGAAAAAUGUACAUUAUCAGAAAAUAAUCAAUAAAUGUGUUUUAAAGUUACACCGAUCAAUUAAAUCCAAAACAUGCACUGCUUGUGAACUUUCAUCAAAAUGUCAAUUUCCUACAAUGACAAAAGAAAUUACAUUGUGUGCAUUCCAUCUCUAUACAUGUUGUCUGUUUAACGUCCCGACCUAAAGAGAAAUAAAAAGACUAAGUUUUUCUUAAUAUAAACCCGCGUCACGUGAUGUCUCCUCAAUCUUGCGCGCGCGCUGUAUCUAAAAUAAAACAAAAACUUUCCAAACUAAACAUGAAACUUCUCCGGUAACUAAAUAAUAUAGACCCUUUACAAAAACAAACAAACAAACAAAUACCCCCCCCCCCCCUUUUUCCAAAUCAAUAAAUCAAAAAAAUCAAUUGUCCAUUCAUCAGAGGGGAAAGACUGCCUAACAAUUGUUUUCAAAACAAUUGCUUUAUAUUUAUUAUUAUUUUUUUUUUUUCUUCCGCCUAAUUUUUUUUCUUGCGUAUUAUUGAUGUUUCAAAAGAUGUCGCUUAGAUAUUUGGAAUAUGGUAUCGUAUAGUUUAUACGCUU
RNAcentral lists this long non-coding RNA (701 nucleotides) under Mytilus galloprovincialis (Mediterranean mussel). Lineage: Eukaryota; Metazoa; Mollusca; Bivalvia; Mytilida; Mytilidae. The record is from RNAcentral.